UCCAGCCAUGCCGCGUGAGUGAUGAAGGCCUUAGGGUUGUAAAGCUCUUUCGCCCGCGAAGAUAAUGACGGUAGCGGGAGAAGAAGCCCCGGCUAACUACGUGCCAGCAGCCGCGGNUAAUACGUAGGGUGCGAGCGUUAAUCGGAAUUACUGGGCGUAAAGCGUGCGCAGGCGGCUUUGUAAGACAGAUGUGAAAUCCCCGGGCUCAACCUGGGAACUGCAUUUGUGACUGCAAGGCUAGAGUGCGUCAGAGGGAGGUGGAAUUCCGCGUGUAGCAGUGAAAUGCGUAGAGAUGCGGAGGAACACCGAUGGCGAAGGCAGCCUCCUGGGAUGACACUGACGCUCAUGCACGAAAGCGUGGGGGGCAAACAGGAUUAGAUACCCUGGUAGUCCACGCCCUAAACGAUGUCAACUAGUUGUCGGGGAUUCAUUUCCUUGGUAACGCAGCUAACGCGUGAAGUUGACCGCCUGGGGAGUACGGCCGCAAGUUAAAACUCAAAGGAAUUGACGGGGACCGCACAAGCGUGGAUGAUGAGGAUUAAUUCGAUGCAACGCGAAAAACCUUACCUA
Molecule: ribosomal RNA, 570 nt
Filed under: uncultured bacterium
Lineage: Bacteria
Description: bacterial SSU rRNA
Rfam family: Bacterial small subunit ribosomal RNA
Source: RNAcentral